CCGUUAUACGAUUUUGUUGGCGUUCAUUUCAACUCCCCACUCUAGCACCUGGCUGUCGCAAAUAAUGGAGAGUGAGAAGGCGAACGCACUCGAAGACAACUUGGCAAAGGGAAAACGCCCACUCGGAGACGACGGUGGUGGUGGUGACAUACCGGAAUCGGGGGAACGGCCAAAAGGCGAAAAAACAAAGCUACCAAAAUUUUCUACGCUUUCUUCUUUGGAGAAGCUUUAUUAUCAGGAAUAUAUUGACCACCAAGAUUCAAUUACUUCUGACAAUGCGUUGGCUACAUCGACUCGCCAACUAGUGUCCAAGGCUUCAGAUGAUGAUCAUGUCAAAUCUCUUCUUAAUUCAAUCAUAUAUAGGAUGAGGUUGAAAUGGUUCAAGACUGAGCACUUAAUACUAAGGAAGAGAAUUAUGGAUGACAAUAUUCCUCUGGAUAGUCCCCUGGUGAGCAGCUGCCCUCUGGCAUUGCUAGCUAUGUAUUUCACACUUUGGUUAUUUGUGCUUUUUUCCUUCUCUGAUGAUAUUUAACACACUUUGAGUGCUUGUGUAUUUUGUAUUCUCUUUAUGUGUUAUAUUACUCGCUAUUGUGGUCAUGAUUUUCUGUUUUUCCCUCUGUAAUAACCAGAGAUCAUCCAUUGUUCCUUCAAUUUCAAUUCCAGCAGCAUGCCGGUAUGUUCUUUUUCUUUUGUUGGAUCUUUCUUAUCAUUUGCCUAGUCUCUCAUGCUUUGUGCAGUGGCCCUACUUUUCAUGUUUAUCAUGCUCAUGCGGCAUCUUAUUAUUCCCAUUGUUAAGCUGUUUUUUUUUUUUUUUUUUUUUUGUUCCUUCCUUUUCCUUUGAAUAUUGUGGAGAAUCCAUUGGCUUAGAAAGAAGCUUUUACAUUUCACUGUUGUUGCAUCUGUUUUUGAUAUUGUAACUUCUUUUACUCAUUAAUUUUCUUCCGACUUUCUGACUUUAAGCCUCUUUUUUUUUCUUUUUUUUUUUCUUCCUUCUCUCAAAUAACCCAUAAAUCAAUUAUCUUGGUGGGCUUUGGAGUUUAGCAAAAUUGAUAUGAAUCUUCUCAAAGAGGGGGUGUCCGAUGAAGAGCUUUGUCAAGAGUUACAAUUUGCUGUAGAACCGAAGUCAUCUGUGUUGGGUGAGAGUUGUGUGAAUUCAGUAGCUGCACUAUUGAGUCGCUUCCAGGAUAAUUGUAGGAGGCUGAAGGAAUUAGAAGCCACCACUAAGAGCCAAAAAGAGAGGAAGUCAGAGGAUUUUGUUAGAGCCGCAUCAGCAAACACGAAUUUGAACCCUAUUUUGCGAAACCUGAAAUUGACCCCCAGAUUAGUAAUCCUGAGAUCGAUCCCUGGAACAGCGUACUUGGAGGUGACACCCAUGUGACCUGAUAGCAAAAGAUGUCGUUGAUCAUCGAACCUCAUAUAUGUUUUUAUGUUUUUAUAUUUUGAAAUAUUUAGGUAGCUGUAGUUGAUCACAAAGGGCCUUCUAUAGGUAUUUCCAAACAUUCGGAUUAUAACUGUUAACGAUAUGAACGUACUGCAACUAUCAUGGACCUCUCUCUAUUGCAUCUCUAUAGGAAUUUGCGUAUUAUUA
Molecule: long non-coding RNA, 1588 nt
Organism: Ziziphus jujuba (common jujube)
Lineage: Eukaryota; Viridiplantae; Streptophyta; Magnoliopsida; Rosales; Rhamnaceae
Exons: 5
Source: RefSeq, a predicted model, not a curated record